UACGUAGGGGGCAAGCGUUGUCCGGAUUUAUUGGGCGUAAAGAGCGUGUAGGCGGUUUGGUAGGUCCGCUGUGAAAACUCGAGGCUCAACCUCGAGACGCCGGUGGAAACCAUCAGGCUAGAGUCCGGAAGAGGAGAGUGGAAUUCCUGGUGUAGCGGUGAAAUGCGCAGAUAUCAGGAAGAACACCCGUGGCUAAGGCGGCUCUCUAGUACGGUACUGGACGCUGAGACGCGAAAAGCCGUGGGGAGCGAACAGG
Molecule: ribosomal RNA, 256 nt
Filed under: uncultured bacterium
Lineage: Bacteria
Description: partial 16S ribosomal RNA
Rfam family: Bacterial small subunit ribosomal RNA
Source: RNAcentral